UUUCCGUAGGUGAACCUGCGGAAGGAUCAUUCAUAAUAAAGUGUUUUAUGGCACUUUUUAAAAAUCCAUAUCCACCUUGUGUGCAAUGUUAGAUCUCGUCAAUCUUGGCGAGAUUUUUAUACAUCAACUCAUUCUUUAACUAAUUUGUCUGAAAAAUAUUAUGAAUACUUAAUUCAAAAAACAACUCUCAGCAACGGAUAUCUUGGCUCUU
Molecule: unclassified non-coding RNA, 211 nt
Filed under: plant metagenome
Description: partial contains small subunit ribosomal RNA, internal transcribed spacer 1, and 5.8S ribosomal RNA
Source: RNAcentral